This 471-nucleotide ribosomal RNA is filed under the name uncultured organism. RNAcentral describes it as "partial 16S ribosomal RNA". It matches the Rfam family "Bacterial small subunit ribosomal RNA", at positions 334 to 797 of the family's 1533-position model. The record is from RNAcentral.
CACUCCUGCGGGAGGCAGCAGUGGGGAAUUUUGGACAAUGGGCGAAAGCCUGAUCCAGCAAUGCCGCGUGAGUGAAGAAGGCCUUCGGGUUGUAAAGCUCUUUUGUCAGGGAAGAAACGGUGAAAGCUAAUAUCUUUUGCUAAUGACGGUACCUGAAGAAUAAGCACCGGCUAACUACGUGCCAGCAGCCGCGGUAAUACGUAGGGUGCAAGCGUUAAUCGGAAUUACUGGGCGUAAAGCGUGCGCAGGCGGUUUUGUAAGUCUGAUGUGAAAUCCCCGGGCUCAACCUGGGAAUUGCAUUGGAGACUGCAAGGCUAGAAUCUGGCAGAGGGGGGUAGAAUUCCACGUGUAGCAGUGAAAUGCGUAGAUAUGUGGAGGAACACCGAUGGCGAAGGCAGCCCCCUGGGUCAAGAUUGACGCUCAUGCACGAAAGCGUGGGGAGCAAACAGGAUUAGAAACCCUUGUAGUCCC